This 421-nucleotide ribosomal RNA is filed under the name uncultured bacterium. RNAcentral's name for it is "bacterial SSU rRNA". It matches the Rfam family "Bacterial small subunit ribosomal RNA", at positions 42 to 465 of the family's 1533-position model. The record is from RNAcentral.
UCAGGCCUAACACAUGCAAGUCGAACGGUAACAGGUCUUCGGAUGCUGACGAGUGGCGAACGGGUGAGUAAUACAUCGGAACGUGCCCAGUAAUGGGGGAUAGCCCGGCGAAAGCCGGAUUAAUACCGCAUACGCCCUGAGGGGGAAAGUGGGGGACCGCAAGGCCUCACGUUAUUGGAGCGGCCGAUGGCUGAUUAGCUAGUUGGUAGGGUAAAGGCCUACCAAGGCGACGAUCAGUAGCUGGUCUGAGAGGACGACCAGCCACACUGGGACUGAGACACGGCCCAGACUCCUACGGGAGGCAGCAGUGGGGAAUUUUGGACAAUGGGGGAAACCCUGAUCCAGCAAUGCCGCGUGUGUGAAGAAGGCCUUCGGGUUGUAAAGCACUUUUGUCAGGAACGAAACGGCGAGGGCUAAUAUC